RNAcentral lists this unclassified non-coding RNA (301 nucleotides) under uncultured fungus. RNAcentral describes it as "sequence contains ITS1". The stretch from base 1 to 105 matches the Rfam family "5.8S ribosomal RNA", at positions 50 to 154 of the family's 154-position model. The record is from RNAcentral. Lineage: Eukaryota; Fungi.
GAAAUGCGAUAAGUAAUGCGAAUUGCAGAAUUCCGUGAGUCAUCGAAUCUUUGAACGCACAUUGCGCCCGCCAGUAUUCUGGCGGGCAUGCCUGUCCGAGCGUCAUUUCUACCAUCAAGCCCCCGGGCUUGCGUUGGGGCCCUGCGGCUGCCCGCAGGCCCCGAAAGACAGUGGCGGGCUCGCUGGCACUCCGAGCGCAGUAGCAUCUCUCUCGCUCCGGUCGUGCCGCGGGUUCCAGCCGUGAAACACCCCCCUUCACAAGGUUGACCUCGGAUCAGGUAGGAAUACCCGCUGAACUUAA